RNAcentral lists this ribosomal RNA (253 nucleotides) under uncultured bacterium. Its description in RNAcentral is "partial 16S ribosomal RNA". It matches the Rfam family "Bacterial small subunit ribosomal RNA", at positions 524 to 776 of the family's 1533-position model. The record is from RNAcentral.
GACGUAGGGGGCCAGCGUUGCUCGGAAUUACUGGGCGUAAAGGGUUCGUAGGCGGUGUGGCAAGUCGGGAGUGAAAUCUCUGGGCUUAACUCAGAGGCUGCUUCCGAAACUGCCGUGCUAGAGUGCGGGAGAGGCGAGUGGAAUUGCAGGUGGAGCGGUGAAAUGCGUAGAUAUCGCUUGGAACGCCAAUGGUGAAAACAGCAGGCUGGGGGUGUGCUGACGCUGAGACGCGAAAGCCAGGGGAGCGAACGGG